GGAUCAAUUUAUUGGUCGUGCUAUUGUACGUACUGGUAUUAUUGAUUCCUACCUUCUGACGAACCAUGAUGUCAUUAAUUUGGUGUCAUGGGGAAUCAGGACUGUUACUUUGAAAAUUAAAUGAGUGUUUAAAGCAUAGGCGUCACGCUUGAAUACAUUAGCAUGGAAUAACGAAAUAGGACGUUUGAUUCUAUUUUGUUGGUUUCUAGGAUCGACGUAAUGAUUAAUAGGGAUAGUUGGGC
Molecule: ribosomal RNA, 242 nt
Filed under: uncultured Glomeromycotina
Lineage: Eukaryota; Fungi; Glomeromycota
Description: partial 18S ribosomal RNA
Rfam family: Eukaryotic small subunit ribosomal RNA (bases 37-242)
Source: RNAcentral